GGAGCAUGUGGUUUAAUUCGAUGCAAAGCGAAGAACCUUACCAGGGCUUGACAUGCCAUGAAUCCUCUAGAAAGAGAGGGGUGCCCUUGAGAACGCGGACACAGGUGGUGCUUUGCCUGAUCAUCCUCUUAAGAAACCUGAAAUACUUGAUAUCUUCUAUAAUGGACUAACCGAUGCUUC
This 180-nucleotide non-coding RNA is filed under the name Triticum urartu. RNAcentral's name for it is "Bacterial small subunit ribosomal RNA". It matches the Rfam family "Bacterial small subunit ribosomal RNA", at positions 934 to 1111 of the family's 1533-position model. The record is from Rfam by way of RNAcentral. Lineage: Eukaryota; Viridiplantae; Streptophyta; Magnoliopsida; Poales; Poaceae.